RNAcentral lists this long non-coding RNA (345 nucleotides) under Medicago truncatula (barrel medic). RNAcentral's name for it is "long non-coding RNA (MTRU_LNC007455)". Lineage: Eukaryota; Viridiplantae; Streptophyta; Magnoliopsida; Fabales; Fabaceae. The record is from RNAcentral.
AUCAUGGUGACCAAGAGAGGGGCAAUUUCUGCAUUACCUACAAAAGAUGAUGUCCUGCAAUAUUAGAUGCAAUAGGAACAUCAGCUGUUAUAAAAUGUAAUAUAUGUUGACAAAGAGUGAGUGAUUAACCUUCUGACUUGGUUUUGAUGGCACUAAUUUGUGAAGUCCUGUACUGCAACAUUCAGGCUAGAACAGAUCAAUAUGUUGAGUUGGAUUUCCUUUUGAUUAUGCCAGCAGCCGCGCAUAUGUUUUGAUCUUGUUAUUUUAAACUCAUAAUUAUUGUGUUAUCUUCUUCCAUUUUGACUCUUAAGAUUUCAAUACGUUAAUGCUUGAAGAACCAAUCCG